GAUGAACGCUGGCGGCGUGCCUAAUACAUGCAAGUCGAGCGAACAGACGAGGAGCUUGCUCCUCUGACGUUAGCGGCGGACGGGUGAGUAACACGUGGAUAACCUACCUAUAAGACUGGGAUAACUUCGGGAAACCGGAGCUAAUACCGGAUAAUAUAUUGAACCGCAUGGUUCAAUAGUGAAAGACGGUUUUGCUGUCACUUAUAGAUGGAUCCGCGCCGCAUUAGCUAGUUGGUAAGGUAACGGCUUACCAAGGCGACGAUGCGUAGCCGACCUGAGAGGGUGAUCGGCCACACUGGAACUGAGACGCGGUCCAGACUCCUACGGGAGGCAGCAGUAGGGAAUCUUCCGCAAUGGGCGGAAGCCUGACGGAGCAACGCCGCGUGAGUGAUGAAGGUCUUCGGAUCGUAAAACUCUGUUAUUAGGGAAGAACAAAUGUGUAAGUAACUAUGCACGUCUUGACGGUACCUAAUCAGAAAGCCACGGCUAACUACGUG
RNAcentral lists this ribosomal RNA (497 nucleotides) under uncultured bacterium. Its description in RNAcentral is "partial 16S ribosomal RNA". It matches the Rfam family "Bacterial small subunit ribosomal RNA", at positions 28 to 507 of the family's 1533-position model. The record is from RNAcentral.